Molecule: ribosomal RNA, 253 nt
Filed under: uncultured bacterium
Lineage: Bacteria
Description: partial 16S ribosomal RNA
Rfam family: Bacterial small subunit ribosomal RNA
Source: RNAcentral
UACAGAGGUGGCAAGCGUUGUUCGGAAUUACUGGGCGUAAAGGGCGCGUAGGCGGCCAUCUAAGUCAGACGUGAAAUCCCACGGCUCAACCGUGGAAGUGCAUUCGAAACUGCGAGGCUGGAGUCCUGGAGAGGAAAGUGGAAUACUCGGUGUAGAGGUGAAAUUCGUAGAUAUCGAGUGGAACACCGGUGGCGAAGGCGGCUUUCUGGACAGGUACUGACGCUGAGACGCGAAAGCGUGGGGAGCAAACAGG